This is a non-coding RNA of Pelodiscus sinensis (Chinese soft-shelled turtle), 2668 nucleotides long. NCBI's taxonomy places the organism in Eukaryota, Metazoa, Chordata, Testudines, Trionychidae. The record is from RefSeq and is a predicted model, not a curated record.
UCAGCUCGGAGCGGGGAGCUGCUGGCGUUUCGAAGCUGUUCUCCGCCUAGGGCUUCUGCAGCCUCGUGCGCUCCCCUGCUUUGCGCUGUUUGCAAACUAAGUACGUGCCUGGGGUGGGGCGAGCCCCUUCAGCCGGGCUUGCGCGCUGGGCACAACUCAGCAACUGAGCGUUACGCCUUGAAGAGAAACACAUGACGUGUGGGUUUGCCAAGCGGAAGAACAUGUCUCCUUGUGGCACAAGAGCGCAGAGCCCCCCCCCCUGUAAGGUUCUUAUGAAAACUCUCUGUGGAAUCUGUCAAACCUACAUUGACUUAUAGAUCAACUAUCAACUUUUUCAAUACUAUUCUUUAAAGUGAGGGAGACAAGGCCAUCAUGAGGCCCAGCUUUGCCUAGAAAUCAUAUGGCUUAUGAAUAUGUAUAUAACCUGUGGCAUGUGUGGUUAGGUGUGAAUGAGGAAUACCCAAUCAAAGGCUCAGGAUCCGUGACCUUUUAAGGCAGACAAGGACCCUGCAAGCAGAUAAAUUAACUGAGAAGCAACCAGAAAAUCUCUCUCUUGGACAAAAUGUAACAUCACAGCAGAAACCUGGAACCGGCCCAGAGAAAGUAAACCCUCUUGCAGAUCCGAAGGGAUCUCCCAAGGAACAUCAUGUCGAGUCUCUGGGAAGCGGAUGCCUGGCCAGCACACCAGCCACCAGCGAAAUCAAAAGUAAUCUACACUGCAUUUGCAGCCUGCCUCCAAACUGCCAGCAUGACUGUGAUGUAUGUAUUACUUUACUCUUAAAAAUCUGUAUCAAUAAACAACCCCAAAAGCAAUACUGCUCCAGCCCACCCUUAGUCCAGGUUUGUUCCUCAGCAAGUCUGAGGAAGUGCAACAAACACAAUGCUACUAAAAGUAACCCAAAUUCUUAGUGUGUGUAUAUAUAUUUGCAUACAGUGUAGCCUCUCCAUGUAUGGAGAGGAAAAUACAUCACAUGGUAGAAAAUACAUCACAAUACAGAAGUGUACCUCGUAGGGCUAGCAAUCAAUUAAAAAAGUACAAUUAAUAGCACUGUUAAACAAUAGUUGAAUACUAUUUAAAUAUUUUUAUAUUUUCUACAUUUUCAAAUAUGGAUUUCAAUUACAACACAGAAUGCAAAGUUACACAGUCCUCACUUUAGAUGUAUUACAAAUAUUUGCACUAUAAAAAAUAGAACUUUUCAGUUCACCUAACAAAAUAAUGUAGUGUAAUCUCUAUCAAGAAAGUUGAAUUUACAAGUGUAGAAUUAUGUACAAAGAAUAACUUAAUUGAAAAAUAAAACAAUGUAAAACUUUAGUGCCAUAAGCAUCCUUGUAGUCUUACUUCUCAUCCAGCCAAUAACAAGAGACUUUUUUUUAUAGUUGUGGGAGAUAAUGUUGCUCACUUCUUUACAAUGUCACCUGAAGUGAGAACAGGCAUUUGCAUAGCAUUGUUGCAGCCAACAUUACAAGAUAUUUGUAUCAGAUGUGCUAAAGAUUCAUGUCUCUUUCUGCUUCAACCACCAAUCCAGAGGACAUCUGUCUAUGCUGACAAAUUCUGCUUAAUAAUGAUCCAAAGAAAGUGCAAGCCGAUGCAUGUUCAUUUUCAUCCCGACUAAGAUGUUACCAACAGAAGGUUGACUUUCCUUUUUGGUGGUUCAGGUUCUGUAGCUUCUGCACUGGAGUGUUGAUCUUUUAAGAUUUCUGAAAGGAUGCUUCAUAUCUCAUCCAUCCCAGAAUUUAGAGGACACUUUAGAUUCUUAAGCCUUGGGUACAGUGCUGUAGCUAUCUUUAGAAAUUUCAUAUAGGUAUAUUUUGAGUUAUUAAAUCUGCAGUGUAAGUGUUCUUAAACAAAAUAUGCUGGGUUGUCAUCCAAGACUACCAUAACACAAAACAUGGCAGAAUUCAGGUAAAACUGUGGAGCAGGAGAUACACUAAACAUUCAUAUACCUCUUCAUGUUUUGAUCACCAUUCCAAAGGAUGUGCUUCCAUGCUGAUUUGUGACUGAAUUCUGUGAAAUAAUUGUGUGUGGCACAAAAACACCUUGUAAUGCUGGCUACAAAAGUGCCAUGCAAACACCUGUUCUAACUUUGACACUUUAAAUAAGCAGGCAGCAUUUUUGCCCGUAAAUGCAUACCAACUUGCUUUUCUUAGUGAUUAGCUGAACAAGAAGUAGGAUUGAAUGGACUUAUAGGCACUAAAGUUUUACAUUGUUUUGGUUUUGACCUGUUAUGUAACAACAACAAAAAAUUACAUUUGUAAAUUGCAUUCUACAAUAAAGAGACUGCACUACAGUACUUGUAUGGAGGUGAAUUUUACAGUGCAAAUAUUUAUAGUUGAAAGUAAUAUAAAGUGACCGCUGUACACUUUGAUUUCAGUUACAAUACAGAAUACAAUCUAUUUGUAAAAUGUAGAUAAAAUCCAAAAAUAUGUAAUACAUUUGAAUUGAUAAUCUAUUGUUUAACAGUACCAUUAAAAAUGACUAAUUUUUAAUCCAUUAUUUUUUGAGUUAAUCACAUGAGUUUACUGGGAUUAAUCAACAGCCCUCGUACCCAGUUGACAAUUUUUAUGGGUUUGGUUUUUUUUAGCAAUUUGAAUACAACAACCUGGUUCAAAAGAGAGGGUGAUUACAAAAUUAAUUGAGAAUGUACAAUAAUUUAAGAGCUACUGUCCA